CCAGGGCGCACUCGUCCCGCCUCCUGCGGGCACGAAGCCAGCAGUGCCCACCGAACCAUCUCGCUCCAGGUCCAAGAGGAACCUCCGGCCGCCCGCGUAGACGAGAGCAACCACUUAUCGCCAUAGGCCUUGACCUGCCUUCAUUCUCAGAAAUUCCUUUUAGAAGAAAAAGAAUACUUUCGGCGGAAGGAAGAUUGGUGCUUAUUAGUACGCGGGUGGCAUUAUCACUGCUACUCAUUUUCUCUGACCUCUUUGUUUCCUCUAAUUACCAUUCUAAGAAGGGAGAAGGAAAACCCCACGACUUAUGAUUAGAAGGUCUACCGUCUACUGUAGGGUUAAGGUUGUAUCUUAACAUCGCCUUGCUCAAGCUCUAGAAUAUUACCAUCUUCCUCAAAACUAUUUGGUCUCUCCAUGUUAGAUAUAUUCUUCUGGUAAAUAAGGAAGAAACUCAUAGAAGAGAAAUAAUAUGUUUAAUAAAGAAAAUACUGGCCUAUGUUACAAGAAAAUACUUUCCCAAGUAUUCAUCCAUGAGAUGGGUAAGAAAACACCAGGAAUUAUGGAAGCCAAGGAUAAACUGACUCAUCUACUUUUGUGGCAAUGCAGCAUAUUUUGGGAUUAAGACUCACUUGUUUUCCUGUUCUGCCAUUUCCCAAUAUUAAGGAACUUGAAUAGGAACUCGCUGAAUGUUUAUUGACAUUCCAUUAAAAAGAGCAUAAGACACAGCCAAAAUUUUUUUUCCUUCAAAAAUGUCCACAAGUACGUUGAGCUAAGGCGGUAUUUUAAAACAUGUGGGUUCUCAAUAUUUUCUUGACAUGUCUGUAAGAGUAGGAGAGCAUAUUUUCUCUUUCUUUAUAUGUCUAUUGACCAAGGAGAAAUAAACUUCCAUCCUCUAGAAAGCAGUGAAUCUCAAAUAUUUUGGGACCCUUUUAUGCCUUUAAAAACUCUCAAGGACGCCCAGAACUUUUGUUUAUGUAGAUUAUAUCUGCUAAUAUUUACCGCACUAGAAAUUACAACUGAAAAAAUAAAUAUUUGUUAAUAACAA
Long non-coding RNA from Chlorocebus sabaeus (green monkey), 1042 nucleotides. RefSeq lists it as uncharacterized. Lineage: Eukaryota; Metazoa; Chordata; Mammalia; Primates; Cercopithecidae. The record is from RefSeq and is a predicted model, not a curated record.